CUCAGAGACUCAAAACAACCAGCUAUGAUAAUGGCCUUAAUAUCUGAUGUAGACCUCUAAUGAACUUCGCGUGCCUACUUUAUCUACAACCUACGUGAGGUAAAAACCAACACUGUAAUACCCGGCUGGAGUCCGGCAUCGGAGUUAUACUUUCCAAUGAAAUCCGGGAUGUCGAAAGUCUCUAGAAGGGUCAGCUUUAUGUUGUUCUACAAUGUUUUGAUAUAUUUCAUAGUUUUUAUGUAUAAGGAAAUGUGUUUUUGAACGAAACGAACCAAGGCAGAAAAGCCAGGUUCGGCCGCCGAAGGUGACAUUCGGUCGCCGAACAUGCAUGGCUUUCGGUUUCACGUGUGGCCGCCGAAGGUGGUCUGGCCAGCCACCUAUAAAACGCCCUCAGUCGGUUGGAAGGAUAAGGAUUGCCUUUUCUUUCUCUUUCUGAGGUGAGACCCUGUCCUUUUUAGGUUUUCUUCAUGUUUUCAUCAAAUCAUGCAAAGGCUUGAUUGAUUUUGAUGUUAUUUUGAAGGUUUUGAGCUAAAAACACAAAGGUGUGAAGUUUGGAGAGUUUGAAGGAGAGUUGCUCCAAAACUCCACGUUAGGAUCGUUCAUCUUCUUGGUUUCAAGAGGUAAGUGAAGAUCCUGAGCUUGUUUUCAUGUUUUAUGGAUGAUUUUUGAGGUUUUGGGGAGAGUUGCAUGAUUAGGGUAAAAGAGAGGUUUUUUUGAUAUUUUUGUGAGAAAAGCUUGUAUAUGUGGUGUAUGUUUUGUGUUGUUGGGGUUUUAAGGUAGUUUUUGACCCCUUUGAGCAUAUACUUGGGAGUAUGCAUGUUAAGGAAUUGAGGUGUUUGAGUUUGGGAGAGUUUGGUGCAUUUUGGCGUGAGGCAGAGCAAGGUUCUGCCUUGCUGAUGAACCCAGCUUCGGCCGCCGAAGAAUGGUUCGGCUGCCGAAGGUGCUGAGGAGGUGGCUUCGGUUACCUAAGCUUGCCCCCGAGCUUUUGGACUUUCGGCUCUGGAGGGGAGUUUCGGCUGCCGAAGAUGCCCCCGAAGGUUAGAGACUUUCGUCUCUGGAGUGCCUUUCAGCCCCCGAAACUUGCCCCCUAAAGGGUUCGGCUGCCGAAAGUAGAGAUUUGGCCGCCGAAGGUGCUUGAGUUUCGGCUCUGGAGAGGACUUUCGGCCGCCAAACCUACCACCGAAAGUGUCCUGUCCAGCCUUCCUUUGCCUGCUUUGCAUAGAUGUGUGAGUGAGUGUAAAGGGAUUCUUGGGGAGUAUAAUAGAGUUGUUCUUGAGUUAGUUUGGUCCCUCAUUUGAGUUUAUCUGUGCCUACACAGACCAGAGGAACCAGAGAGAGCAGCAGUGAGUACUGCUCCAGAGUUUACAGCGCCUGCAAAGUCAGUCCAGAUAGCCAGAGGUGAGUGGAACUAAACUUAAUUCUUUUCAUUGAGAAAUGAAAUGCUUUUAGCAUCAUUCAUGCAUCAUGAGUAUACAGUAGGUUGUUUGCACUAGAAUCCAUGAAUAUGUUGCAUUGCAUAGGUAUUUGUAGAUGUGGGUGAAUGUUGAAUGAUCCAAUAGUUCCAGACAGGAAGUCCAGGACCCCAUUCUACGGCAUGGCAAGUAUAGAAAAGUCCAGGACCCCAUUCUACGGCCUGGCAGGUAUAGUAAAGACCAGGUGCCCAGUCUACGCCCUGGCAAAUGGUAAGUACAGAUGUUAUAUACACAUAUACAUAUACAGUACAGGAAGACCAGGACCCCAGUCUACGGCCUGGCACGGAACAGUUACUGGGACUAUGUGGUGACAGGUUUACCCUUGAUGUGGAUUGUCUGUGAUAUGAUGCAUUCCAUAAGAUCAUGUUUUAAUGACUUGUUUUACUAUUCUACUCACUGGGCUAUAGAGCUCAUCCCACUCCCUUAACCCCAGUCUUGCAGGUUCAGUGUACAGUGUACAGGGAAGAUCAACAGAGUACAGAAAGAGUAAAGAGAUUUGUAAUAGCUUAGAGUGGACAUGUAAUAUUAACGAGAUGUACUAGUUGUGUAUACAGUUCAAUUUGUGCUUGACUUAGUGAUUUUGUGUUGUAAAUCUUUUGUUAUGUACAUGAUCGGUAUAUGUAUAUGUUUUACAGAGUAUGUGAAAAAUCAGGCUUAACAGGUAUGAGUUAACCCAUCUAGAGCAAGCUCUAGUCAGGGGUACAGAGUACAGAGUACAAAGUACAGAGUACAGAGAUAGUGCAUGCACAGGUUAAGCCUUGGUUCAAAAAAGAGUUUUUAUUUUCACAGAAAAUGUAUGAUCAUGUAUGAGAUUUACAGGUACACAGAGAGUAUAGCAGGCUUGCUACGGGUUCUGGCGGCCUUAAGCCGACCUGAAUCCUAGCGCCGGUGACGGUCCAUUUUGGGGUCGUUACAGAUUGGUAUCAGAGCUCUAGGUUCACAUAUAGCAGCAGAGCGGAGACCAAUAGUAAUGGAGCUUUAUAAGCUCAUCGAGGAAGGGUUACAGCUAGAGUUGUAUGGUACGGGUGCAUUGAUCGCACAGAUGAGAGUGACACCUGUGUUUCUGGAGCAAAUAGCUCAGAAACAGCACGAGGACCCAGAGUUGAUGAAAAUUGCCAGGACUGUUCAGUCAGGCAACAGUGCAGAGUUCAGAUUUGACAGUAAAGGGAUCCUUCGCUAUAGGAGUCAACUCUGUGUACCAGCUAGUAGCAGUCUGAAGGAAGACAUUAUGAGGGAAGCUCAUAAUGCGCGGUAUAGUGUUCACCUAGGAGCCACCAAGAUGUAUCAGGAUCUGAAGACGGUAUAUUGGUGGCCAGCCAUGAAGAAAGAAGUGGCGCAGUUCGUGACAGCCUGUGAGGUUUGUCAAAGGGUGAAACUAGAACAUCAGAAGCCGGCUGGAAUGCUUAACCCACUGUCGAUUCCAGAAUGGAAAUGGGAGAAUAUAGCUAUGGAUUUUGUAGUGGGCUUACCAGCAGCGUCCAACAAGAUAGACUCCAUAUGGGUGAUUGUGGACAGACUCACGAAAUAUGCUCAUUUCAUUCCAGUGAGGAGUAACUAUUCUGUAGAUAAGUUAGCACAGGUAUAUCUAGAUGAGAUAGUGAGAUUACAUGGAAUUCCAGUGUCUAUAGUCUCAGACAGAGGACCUCAGUUCACCUCCAGAUUUUGGCGGAGUCUGCAGAGUGCGAUGGGCACGAGGUUGGAUUUUAGCACUGCUUUCCAUCCACAGACUGAUGGACAGUCAGAGAGGACCAUCCAGACCAUAGAGGAUAUGCUCAGAAUGUGUGUGUUAGACUUUGGCGGUUCUUGGAGGCAGCAUCUACCUCUGGUGGAGUUUGCCUAUAAUAACAGUCAUCAUGCUAGCAUCGGGAUGGCUCCUUAUGAAGCGUUGUAUGGGAGGAAGUGUAGAUCACCUGUUUGCUGGGAAGAGGUAGGAGAGAAGGCUCUUGCAGGGCCAGAGUUAGUAGAGAUUACCAGUAGAGUGGUGCCCGUGAUCAGAGAGAGGAUCAGAACUGCUCAGAGCAGGCAGAAAAGUUACGCAAACGUUCGCAGAAAACAGAUAGAGUUUCAGGAGGGUAGUAUGGUAUUGCUGAAGGUGUCUCCAAUGAAAGGAGUGGUUCGUUUUGGCAGAAAGGGUAAGUUAGCUCCAUGAUACAUUGGACCCUUUGAGAUCUUACAAAGGAUCGGGAAUAUGUCGUAUAAGCUAGAUUUACCUGUUUCUAUGGAGAGGAUUCACCCGGUAUUUCAUGUUUCUAUGCUACGGCAGUUUGUGUCAGAUCCAAAUCAGGUUCUGAGUGAGCCUGAUGUGGAGAUUCUGAGAGAUCUCACCUAUAUAGAGCAGCCAGUACGGAUUCUAGACACGUAGAUCAGACAGCUAAGGAACAAGGAAAUUCCAAUGGUGAAAGUUCUAUGGAACCACCAUAAUCUAGAAGAGUGCACUUGGGAGACGCGGGAGUCUAUGCUCCAGCAAUAUCCAUAUCUGUUUUGAGGUUCGUUUUCCUCCUUUUUGUGUGUUUAUUUGUUUGUUUGAGGAACAUUCGAGGACGAAUGUUCGUAAGGGGGGGAGAAUGUAAUACCCGGCUGGAGUCCGGCAUCGGAGUUCUACUUUCCAGUGGAAUCCGGGAUGUCGGAAGUCUCUAGAAGGGUCAGCUUUAUGUUGUUCUACAAUGUUUUGAUAUAUUUCAUAGUUUUUAAGUAUAAGGAAAUGUGUUUUUGAACGAAACUAACCAAGGCAGAAAAGCCAGGUUCGGCCGCCGAAGGUGACAUUCGGCCGCCGAACAUGCAUGGCUUUCGGUUUCACGUGUGGCCGCCGAAGGUGGUCUGGCCAGCCACCUAUAAAAGGCCCUCAGUCGGUUGGAAGGAUAAGGAUUGCCUUUUCUUUCUCUUUCUGAGGUGAGACCCUGUCCUUUUUAGGUUUUCUUCAUGUUUUCAUCAAAUCAUCCAAAGGUUUGAUUGAUUUUGAUGUUAUUUUGAAGGUUUUGAGCUAAAAACACAAAGGUGUGAAGUUUGGAGAGUUUGAAGGAGAAUUGCUCCAAAACUCCACGUUAGGAUCGUUCAUCUUCUUGGUUUCAAGAGGUAAGUGAAGAUCCUGAGCUUGUUUUCAUGUUUUAUGGAUGAUUUUUGAGGUUUUGGGGAGAGUUGCAUGAUUAGGGUAAAAGAGAGGUUUUUUUGAUAUUUUUGUGAGAAAAGCUUGUAUAUGUGGUGUAUGUUUUGUGUUAUAGGGGUUAUAAGGUAGUUGUUGACCCCUUUGAGCAUAUACUUGGGUGUAUGCAUGUUAAGAAAUUGAGGUGUUUGAGUUUGGAAGAGUUUGGUGCAUUUUGGCGUGAGGCAGAGCAAGGUUCUGCCUUGCUGAUGAACCCAGCUUCGGCCGCCGAAGAAUGGUUCGGCUGCCGAAGGUGCUGAGGAGGUGGCUUCGGUUACCUAAGCUUGCCCCCGAGCUUUUGGACUUUCGGCUCUGGAGGGGAGUUUCGGCCGCCGAAGAUGCCCCCGAAGGUUAGAGACUUUCGUCUCUGGAGUGCCUUUCAGCCCCCGAAACUUGCCCCCAAAAGGGUUCGACUGCCGAAAGUAGAGAUUCGGCCGCCGAAGGUGCUUGAGUUUCGGCUCUGAAGAGGACUUUCGGCUGCCGAACCUACCGCCGAAAGUGUCCUGUCCAGCCUUCCUUUGCCUGCUUUGCAUAGAUGUGUGAGUGAGUAUAAGGGGAUUCUUGGGGAGUAUAAUAGAGUUGUUCUUGAGUUAGUUUGGUCCCUCAUUUGAGUUUAUCUGUGCCUACACAGACCAGAGGAACCAGAGAGAGCAGCAGUGAGUACUGCUCCAGAGUUUACAGAGCCUGCAAAGUUAGUCCAGAUAGCCAGAGGUGAGUGGAACUAAACUUAAUUCUUUUAAUUGAUAAAUGAAAUGCUUUUAGCAUCAUUCAUGCAUCAUGAGUAUACACUAGGUUGUUUGCACUAGAAUCCACGAAUAUGUUGCAUUGCAUAGUUAUUUGUAGAUGUGGGUGAAUGCUGAAUGAUCCAAUAGUUCCAGACAGGAAGUCCAGGACCCCAUUCUACGGCCUGGCAAGUAUAGGAAAGUCCAGGACCCCAUUCUACGGCCUGGCAGGUAUAGUAAAGACCAGGUGCCCAGUCUACGCCCUGGCAAAUGGUAAGUACAAAUGUUAUAUACACAUAUACAUAUACAGUACAGGAAGACCAGGACCCCAGUCUACGGCCUGGCACGGAACAAUUACUGGGACUAUGUGAUGACAGGUUUACCCUUGAUGUGGAUUGUCUGUGAUAUGAUGCAUUCCAUAAGAUCAUGUUUUAAUGACUUGUUUUACUAUUCUACUCACUGGGCUAUAGAGCUCAUCCCACUCCCUUAACCCCAGUCUUGCAGGUUCAGUGUACAGUGUACAGGGAAGAUCAGCAGAGUACAGAAAGAGUAAAGAGAUUUGUAAUAGCUUAGAGUGGACAUGUAAUAUUAACAUUCAUAUAACUUAUUUAUACAAUAAAAUUAACAUGUUUAGCAAGUAAAAUCAACCCCUAAUUUCUCUUAUUCAUGACAGAAUCAAAGGAAAACAGAAAAUCAUACAAACACCAAACCUUUCUUGAAUUCCUCCUUUCUUUUCCUCUUCUAAUCUCUAGCUAUCUCCUUUCCCUUUGAUGUUCCUUCACCUAGAUCAAUUUAUAUCUUAGGUAAGGAUUGAAUAAAUUGUAAAUUAAAGCUUUAUAAUUCAAAUUUAUGUAUGAAGAAAUGCGAAGAUGUCAUUUCCUACACAUUUAUAAGCUCACCUUUGAUUUUCAAGCUUGGUGUAUAUGGAACCCUAAACCUUUCUUCUUCAAUUCCUUCAAUAUAUGGCUGUUCCUUCAGCUCUUG
This 6317-nucleotide long non-coding RNA is filed under the name Manihot esculenta (cassava). RNAcentral's name for it is "long non-coding RNA (MESC_LNC007973)". The record is from RNAcentral. Lineage: Eukaryota; Viridiplantae; Streptophyta; Magnoliopsida; Malpighiales; Euphorbiaceae.